AUGUCUUGCUUCAGAUUACCUCGAGGCCUUUGUGGAAGCAUUACGUCACUCAUUCGUCAGUUUUGGUGGGGGAGCAAGAGAGGCAAGAGGAAACCAUGUUGGGUAGCUUGGGAUUUGAUGACCCGACCGAAAAGUUUGGGAGGACUUGGCUUUCGGGAUAUAGAAAUCUUCAACUUGGCACUUUUGUCUCGGCAAAUUUGGAGAUUAUUGAAUGAUCCCUCCUCUCUUAGUGCACAAAUCCUUAAAGCAUCAUAUUUUCCACAAUGUACAGUCCUUGAAGCUCAACUAGGUCCACAUCCUUCUCAGGUGUGGCGAUCUAUACUUGAUGGGAGAGAUAUUAUCACCCAAGGAGCUAUCCGGCGUAUUGGUGAUGGAACUACCACGAACAUAUGGCAACAUAGUUGGAUCCCA
RNAcentral lists this ribosomal RNA (411 nucleotides) under Triticum aestivum (bread wheat). Its description in RNAcentral is "partial small subunit ribosomal RNA". Lineage: Eukaryota; Viridiplantae; Streptophyta; Magnoliopsida; Poales; Poaceae. The record is from RNAcentral.